GAGGCAGAUUUUUUUUUGUUUUCCUGUUCUACAUUUACUUGGCUGAGACUGUUCCUAUUGUUACUUAUCUAAGUUUUACAAUUUAUUCAAUUUUUAGCUUGAGAAGCUGAGUGACAUACAGUGCCAACCUGAGUCACAGCUAAAGUUCAUAACAGAGGCCUGGCUUCAGAUCGUUGAGUGCAGGCGUGUUUUGAAAUGGACAUAUGCUUAUGGAUAUUAUUUACCAGAGCAUGAACAUGCCAAGAGACAGUUCUUUGAGUACUUGCAAGGUGAGGCAGAGUCUAGGUUGGAAAGACUUCAUCAAUGUGCAGAAAAGGAGCUACAUGUUUACCUUAAUGCAGAGGGCCAAUCAAAAGACUUCAAUGAGUUUCGCACAAAACUUGCUGGACUGACCAGGUAGUUGCCAAACCAAAAAUUUACUUGGCUUU
Long non-coding RNA from Humulus lupulus (European hop), 428 nucleotides. RefSeq lists it as uncharacterized. The transcript has 3 exons. The record is from RefSeq and is a predicted model, not a curated record. NCBI's taxonomy places the organism in Eukaryota, Viridiplantae, Streptophyta, Magnoliopsida, Rosales, Cannabaceae.